CAGUCGCCACGGUAAUACGAAGGGGGCUAGCGUUGCUCGGAAUGACUGGGCGUAAAGGGCGCGUAGGCGGCUGUUACAGUCAGACGUGAAAUUCCUGGGCUCAACCUGGGGGCUGCGUUUGAUACGUGAUGGCUUGAGUUCGGAAGAGGGUCGUGGAAUUCCCAGUGUGGAGGUGAAAUUCGUAGAUAUUGGGAAGAACACCGGUGGCGAAGGCGGCGACCUGGUCCGAUACUGACGCUGAGGCGCGAAAGCGUGGGGAGCAAACAGGAUUAGAUACCCCAGUAGUCCCUGUCUCUUAUAC
RNAcentral lists this ribosomal RNA (301 nucleotides) under uncultured bacterium. Its description in RNAcentral is "partial 16S ribosomal RNA". It matches the Rfam family "Bacterial small subunit ribosomal RNA", at positions 509 to 807 of the family's 1533-position model. The record is from RNAcentral.